RNA transcript from Abrus precatorius (Indian licorice), 2881 nucleotides. It is a transcript of the gene named transcription termination factor MTERF2, chloroplastic, with no coding region annotated. The record is from RefSeq and is a predicted model, not a curated record. Lineage: Eukaryota; Viridiplantae; Streptophyta; Magnoliopsida; Fabales; Fabaceae. The transcript has 7 exons.
GUGUUCUUCCGUAACCUUAACCUGUAACUACAAACGAAAUAUCGGAAGUGAAGAGUGGCAACAAUUAACUCUUAUCCAUUGCCAUUUGCCAAUUCCUACCACCAUCUUCAUCUUCAGCCUCCACCUUGAUCCAACAAAUAGAGAAAUUAUAGAGAAGAAGAAGAAGAAGAAGAAGAAGAAAUAAAUGCUCUUUUCAUGUCAAAAAUACAACCUUCACCUUCCCUGCUCUUCUGUCAUCCUCCAAAACCCAACAACAUCCACCGUUGUCAAGUGUCAGAACCCAAAUGUCCCAAACGAACAACAACACGCCAUUCUCCGCAAACACAAUUCCAAAUCCACAUCCUUUCUCCUUCACCAUAUUUCCCAUAAAGAUGGGGUUGAAAAUCCCAAACCCAGUGAGCUUCAAGACCCAAUGCCCCAUGAAGAAAAAGUUAAGGUUUUGGAACUUUCCCUUGUCAGGAAAAGGACCCCUCAGUUCCCUGGCUCCAUCUAUGCUCAGUCCCCAAGUGACACCGAUGUGGGUUCUUCUCUGCCCCCUCUUCGCACUCUGUUUCAAUCAAGUGCUAACAAUCACGAUAAAGAGGAUGAAGAGAUGUUAAUGCGCGCUCUUGAGAUUCGUAGGAAGGUCACUGAGGAGGUUUUCAAGGAAGCCCUGCGAAAGGGAAAGUUUGGAAUCACCUACACUACCAAUGUGGUUAACAGGAUACCUGCUUUUAUUGAUCACAUCAUGAUUGAAGCUGCUAACCUGAAAAGAUUGCCUCAAUAUUCCAGCUCCACCUUUAAUUUACGUGCCAAAACGGUUAUUGAUGAUUCUCAAGUUGUGCCACUUAUCAGAUGGUUGAAACAUCAUGCAAUAUCAUAUCCUCGGAUAGCAAAGCUCAUUGUGAUGUCAAGAGGAAAACUCGAGUCCAUAAGGAGUUUUGUUGAGUGGUUGAAGUCGGUUCAUGUGAAAGGCGAGUUUCUCGGGGUUGUAAUGUUGAAUGCUGGAGAUAAUAUUUUGCAGUGCAGUCAUGAAGAGCUGGAUGAAAUUGUUCGGUAUUUAGAGUCCAAUGGAGUCAGGAGGGAUUGGAUGGGUUAUGUUAUAAGUCGAUGUCCUCAAUUAUUGUCUUACACCUUAGAAGAAGUGAAGAUUCGUGUGCAGUUCUACCUAGAUAUGGGUUUAAAUGAGAAGGAUUUUGGCACUAUGGUUUUUGAUUUUCCGAAAGUACUUGGUUACUAUUCUUUGGAGGAAAUGAACCUAAAGGUUAAUUACUUAAAAGAAUUUGGGCUUCAACGUAAGGAUGUUGGCAAAUUGCUCGCAUUUAGGCCACAAUUGAUGGCGUGCAGCAUUGAUGAACAAUGGAAACCUCUUGUUAAGUAUCUGUACUAUUAUGGGAUUACUCGAGAUGGUAUGAGGAGAAUGCUUACCAUUAAACCAAUGGUCUUUUGUAUUGACUUGCAGAUGACUAUUGUGCCAAAGGUAAAGUUUUUACAGGACAUUGGGGUUCGAAAUGAUGCAAUUGGCAACAUGCUUGUGAAGUUUCCUACUCUACUUACUUACAGCCUGCACAAGAAGAUUAGACCUGUGGUUAUAUUCUUAAUGACCAAAGCUGGAGUCAGUGAGAAAGACAUUGGCAAGGUCAUAGCUCUUGGACCUGAGCUCUUGGGGUGCCACAUAGUACAUAAGCUUGAAGUAAAUGUAAAAUAUUUUUUGUCUCUUGGCAUACGUCUUAAGCAAUUGGGGGAGAUGAUUGCUGAUUUUCCGAUGCUUCUCAGAUAUAAUAUAGAUGUUCUUCGUCCCAAAUAUAGUUAUUUGCGAAAAACCAUGGUCCGGCCUUUGGAAGAUAUCAUUGAGUUUCCAAGGUUUUUCAGCUAUUCUCUUGAUGGUCGAAUUAUCCCAAGACACAAGGUUCUAGUGGAGAACCAGAUUAAUGUUAAGCUGAGAUACAUGUUGGCUAGCUCUAAUGAAGAAUUCAACAAAAUGGUCAAGUCCAUAAUUAAAAAGCGCCAAAGAUUUGAAUCUGCUGUCAUGAAUGAGGAUACUACUCAGCAUCAUUCUGUUGUUACUAGGGAUAUUACUACGCGAGACGCAAACAACAGCAACUAAGACUUUUCUCACUAGAUCAAGUCCGGCGAGAAAGGUUGCAGUGCGAAAUGACUUUAUAACAAACAGCCAGCACAGUGCUGAAACAUCUUAAUGAAUUGGUGGAGGAAGCGAAGCUCCUGUGUCAUAGUAAACAAAAAAGCCUGCAAAAAUGUCAAGUGCUGCCUCACUGGUAAAAGCAGAAUUGCUGCAGAGUGAGACAACUAAACUUAACACUUUGGAGUGCGGAUCAUGUUUGCGUUGUGGAGACGUGAUUUGUGUACUCCUUGCAAUUAUUUUCUAGGAUGGUUUGACUUUGAGGAGCAGGAGAAAAUUUGACUGUUCAACUGAAUAAUCUGUGUCUAAACUUGUAAGCAGAGUUAUCUGACAUGAUUGUGUAACAAAAUUCUUGGCUGCGAGUUGUCUCUACUGGCAGAACGCAAAACUUGACCCUUCUUCAGAAGGUCAACACUCAAACAAUUUGUGAAAGCCGUUUAAAUCUAUCUUGCUCUACAUUUCUGUCGUAACCAGCAAAAAAGCUCUUACAUGACACAAUUUUCAUCACUUUUUUUUAUAUGGAAACCCAUGAUCUAUAGUAAAAUUAUUUGCGGAUGACCAUGGUCCCACCACCGAUUUUAGGGACACUCCUCAAUCUGAAGGCACUUCACUAAGUUAUGCUGACCUAAAGAUAGUUUGUAAAAAUAUCCUUUAAAUCUUAAUAAUUUUAAUCUAUAUUUAAGUUAUUUUAUUAAUUAUGGAUUAUUUCAAGUUGUGUAAGAAAAAGACUAGUGUUUAAUAUAAUAUGAAUGAGUGAAGUUC